UCCCUGAAGGACUAGUGGUUAGGCCACGGCGCUCACAUCGCCACCGCCUGGGUUCAAUUCCCGGCCAGGGAA
Non-coding RNA from Pangasianodon gigas (Mekong giant catfish), 72 nucleotides. The record is from the annotation of a GenBank genome assembly. Lineage: Eukaryota; Metazoa; Chordata; Actinopteri; Siluriformes; Pangasiidae.